This 255-nucleotide ribosomal RNA is filed under the name uncultured bacterium. RNAcentral describes it as "partial 16S ribosomal RNA". It matches the Rfam family "Bacterial small subunit ribosomal RNA", at positions 524 to 776 of the family's 1533-position model. The record is from RNAcentral.
UACGUAGGGGGCAAGCGUUGUCCGGAAUUAUUGGGCGUAAAGCGCGCGCAGGCGGUUUCUUAAGUCUGAUGUGAAAGCCCACGGCUCAACCGUGGAGGGUCAUUGGAAACUGGGGAACUUGAGUGCAGAAGAGAAAAGCGGAAUUCCACGUGUAGCGGUGAAAUGCGUAGAGAUGUGGAGGAACAUCAGUGGCGAAGGCGGCUUUUUGGUCUGUAAACUGACGCUGGAGGCGCGAAAGCGUGGGGAGCAAACAGG